This 2232-nucleotide long non-coding RNA is filed under the name Homo sapiens (human). Its description in RNAcentral is "HSALNT0106508". The record is from RNAcentral. Lineage: Eukaryota; Metazoa; Chordata; Mammalia; Primates; Hominidae.
UGUGCAGAGCCCAGGCGCGUGGGUCGGUGUCGGGUGUGUGUGUACGUCUGUGUGUGUAAUGAAACUGGACGCCUUCCUUCCCGGCGAUCUUGACUUAACCUGUCAGCAGAGGGCUUGAGGUUAGACCACAGGUUGAACCUAGGUGGCUGCUGGAGAGAAACACUCUGUCUUCCUGCUUUGAGGACAGCUGAAGUCUUGCCACUUCUUCUGGAUGCUCUGACCAUCAGUAAGCCACCUCAGUCUCACCCUCCGCAGAAUGCAGGCCCACUCCGUUGCUGAAGGGCCUCCUCCUUGGGCCAGGGCGCCUGCUUCUGCCAGUGGCAUCAUCACCCCACUCCUCAGCCGCCAGUCAUCAGAGACACGGUCUGACUUUGUUACCCCGGCUGGAGUGCAGUGGUGCAAUCAUGGCUCACUGCAGCCUUAACCUCCUGGGCUCAAGUGAUCCUCUCGCCAAGGCUAGGAUAAGUAGCUAGGACUACAGAUGCGCCCCAUCACGCCCAGCUAAUUUUACAACUUCUGUAGAGAUGGAGUGUUGCUGGGUUGCCCAGGCUGGUCUUGAAUUCCUGGGCUCAAGCGAUCCUCCUGUGUCCGGAAUUGGUGGGUUCUUGGUCUCACUGACUUCAAGAAUGAAGCCGCGGACCCUCGCGAGUCUGUAUCCACCAGCUACUCUUCCAGAUUCAUGAGGCAAGGCCUGCCUGCUCACCUGGCUGGCCCCAAGCACCUCUUCAACCUGUUGCCACCGUCCUGCCUUGCUGCCCUUCUCAGCUCAUCCAGCAGGGUCUCCAAGUCGUGGAAACAGAAGCACAUAUACACACAUGCUCAUAUGUACAUGCCCACAGUCACAUAAGCACACCGAGAAACACCAUCGCAGACAUGUUCUCACAAGCACAUGUGCAUAACACUCACUACCCCUCACGCGUAUACACAUUAAUACACACACUCAUGCACACUCAGUCUUACACACACAGACACACAGCCAUAAUCACUGUUGUUGGUUGAAUUGUGCCCCCCCAUCCCCACCAAAAAGAUAAGUUGGAGUCCUAACCCCCAGUACCUGGGGAUGUGACCGUAGUUGGAAAUAGGGUGUUUGUAGAUGUAAUCAAAUUAAGAUGAGAUCUUACUGGAUUAGAGUGGGCCUUAAAUCCAGUGACUGGUGUCCUUAUAAGGAGAAAAAGAUUUGAAAACAGAGACAUGGAGACACAGAGCAGAAGGCCAUGUGAUGAUGGAGUCAGAGAUUGGAGUGAUGCAGCUAUGAGCCGAGAAAUACCAAGGUGCUGGCAGCCCCCAGAAGCAAGGAGAGAGGCAAGGAACAAUCUCCAUCAGAGCCUCUGGAAGAAACAGACUCUGCCAACACCUUGAUUUCAGACUUUUGGCCUCCUUCACUGUGCGAGAAUACGUUUCUGUUGUUUUAAACUACUGAGUCACCAAGUCUGUGGUACUGUGUUAUGGCAGCCCCGGCAACAAAUCCAAUCACACACACACACACACACACACACACACACACACACACACACACACACACAGCUGGCUCCAGGCUCAGUGAUGAGCUCAGAGGAGUUCCCCUUGGGAGCUGCUCUUUCUCUGUCUUCCUUCCUUAGUGAUUGGUCCAGUGGAUCCACAAAAGCUCAUGGCCCAGAGCAGGAGCCCAGUCAUUUUUAAUUCCUCUUCCCUGGAGUUCUUAACCAUGCGUUGCCCUCAAAAUCUGCUCUCAAGAUUUGGGUUGCCAUAUUUAGGAGCACCAGAAAACAUACAGGAAUGCUGUGUCUGCUUGCAUCAUAUUAAUUAAAAACUGGAAAUAACCUAAAUGUCCCAGAAUAGGUACAUAAACUGUGGCAUAUCCACUUAAUGGAAUACUACUCAGCAAUACAAAAGGAAAACCUAGUGUUACUUGAGCAACAUGGAUGAACUUCACAGACAUAAUAUUGCACAGCACGAGGCAGACACAAAAGUGUGCAUAUGCUAUGAUUCCAUUUACAUGAGAUUCAAGAACAGGCAAAGCAGAUCUAUGGGGAUAGAAGUCAGAAUAGUGGUUACCUCUGGAAGGUGGAAUUGACUGGGAGGGGCUUCAGGGAACCUCCUGGGGUGCUGAAAACAUUCUGUGCUUGCACCGGGUGGUGGUUAUGUGGGCAUUACAUAAAAUUCACCAAGCUGCACCCUUAAUGAUUUGUACAAUUUGAUGCACAAAUCUAACAUCUCAAGAAGAAUAAAUUUUACAAAGUACCUAAGAAGCAA